GACGAACGCUGGCGGCGUGCUUAACACAUGCAAGUCGAACGGAAAGGCCCUGCUUUUGUGGGGUGCUCGAGUGGCGAACGGGUGAGUAACACGUGAGUAACCUGCCCCUGACUUUGGGAUAACUUCAGGAAACUGGGGCUAAUAUCGGAUAGGAGAUACUGCUGCACGGUGGGGGUUGGAAAGUGUCGGCGGUUGGGGAUGGACUAGCGGCUUAUGAGCUAGUUGGUGGGGUAGUGGCGGACCAAGGCUUCGACGGAUAGCCGGCCUGAGCGGGUGACCGGCCACAUUGGGACUGCGGUACGGCCCAGACUCGUACGGGAGGCAGCAGUGGGAAAUAUUGCGCAAUGGGCGGGCGCCUGAUGCAGCAACGCCGCGUGCGUGAUGACGGCCUUCGGGUUAUAAACCGCUUUCGCCUGUGCCGAAGCGUGAGUGACGGUAGUUGGUAAAAAAGCACCGGCUAACUACGUG
Molecule: ribosomal RNA, 468 nt
Filed under: uncultured bacterium
Lineage: Bacteria
Description: partial 16S ribosomal RNA
Rfam family: Bacterial small subunit ribosomal RNA
Source: RNAcentral